GCUUGUCUCAAAGAUUAAGCCAUGCAUGUCUAAGUAUAAGCACUUAUACCGUGAAACUGCGAAUGGCUCAUUACAUCAGUUAUAGUUUAUUUGAUAGUCCCCACUACUUGGAUAACCGUAGUAAUUCUAGAGCUAAUACAUGCGUCAAGUCCUGACUGCGCGAGCGGAAAGGAUGUGUUUAUUAGAUACAAAACCAAUGCCCUUCGGGGCUCCUUGGUGAUUCAUGAUAACUAUACGAAUCGCACGGCCUUGCGCCGGCGAUGGUUCAUUCAAAUUUCUUCCCUAUCAACUUUCGAUGUUUGGGUAUUGGCCAAACAUGGUUGCAACGGGUAACGGAGGGUUAGGGCUCGACCCCGGAGAAGGAGCCUGAGAAACGGCUACUACAUCCAAGGAAGGCAGCAGG
Molecule: ribosomal RNA, 403 nt
Filed under: uncultured Cordyceps
Lineage: Eukaryota; Fungi; Ascomycota; Sordariomycetes; Hypocreales; Cordycipitaceae
Description: partial small subunit ribosomal RNA
Rfam family: Eukaryotic small subunit ribosomal RNA
Source: RNAcentral